Molecule: long non-coding RNA, 583 nt
Filed under: Nicotiana benthamiana
Lineage: Eukaryota; Viridiplantae; Streptophyta; Magnoliopsida; Solanales; Solanaceae
Description: long non-coding RNA (NBEN_LNC037821)
Source: RNAcentral
UCAGAUUUCGAUUCCGAGAAUAUGCCCGUGUCCCAUAUUUUCUUACAAACCUUUUGGGACUGUCACAUCAUGGGUAUGGGUCUAUUUACCCAAAAUAUUGACCAAAGUCAAUUUCAACAAUAGUAAUAUAAAAAUUCAUCAACUUUUUCACAAAUUUCACAUAUUUCAAUAUAACAGUUUUCUGACUACGCGCCCGGACUACGCACGCAAAUUGAGGCAACUAAAAAUGAGAUUUUUUAAUCCUCGGAAGCACGGUAAAAGGAAGAAAUCUGGGUCAUCACAUGUAGAUACAAAGGAUGAUGAUGAUCUACAGUCGUUCUUGUGCUCGUUCCAGUUGAAUUUUCUUCUCCAAUUGCAAUAGCUGAUACAUUUAGUUGAAUUAACCCUUUUCUUCAAUGAAUUAUAUACUCUCUAAUAGCAAAUUGAACAAAAACCCAAGGUUAAUCGAUCGAGAAAAACUCGAACAAUCAACAGUAGAACAACUCUACAAAGAAAUAGAGGAGAUCGAUCACAAUGAGCAAGUAUCUAGCUCUCGUGCUCUGAUACCAUGACGAAGAUCAAAUAUUAGCUCAAUUGAAAAGAG